This 350-nucleotide ribosomal RNA is filed under the name uncultured eukaryote. RNAcentral describes it as "SSU rRNA". It matches the Rfam family "Eukaryotic small subunit ribosomal RNA", at positions 567 to 920 of the family's 1831-position model. The record is from RNAcentral.
CCAGCAGCUGCGGUAAUUCCAGCUCCAAUAGCGUAUAUUAAAGUUGUUGCCGUUAAAAAGCUCGUAGUCGAACUUCGGUCCUUGUUGGUCGGUCCGCCUUCUUGGUGUGUACUUACUCAACGAGGACUUACCUCCUGGUGAGCUGCAAUGUCCUUUACUGGGUGUUGUAGGGAACCAGGACGUUUACUUUGAAAAAAUUAGAGUGUUCAAAGCAGGCCUACGCCCGAAUACAUUAGCAUGGAAUAAUAGAAUAGGACGCGCGUUCCCAUUUUGUUGGUUUCUGAGAUCGCCGUAAUGAUUAAUAGGGAUAGUUGGGGGCAUUCGUAUUCCGUCGUCAGAGGUGAAAUUCU